Molecule: ribosomal RNA, 533 nt
Filed under: uncultured bacterium
Lineage: Bacteria
Description: bacterial SSU rRNA
Rfam family: Bacterial small subunit ribosomal RNA
Source: RNAcentral
GAUGYCCGGCGCCAUGGCGCGGGAUUACGGRRGCAGCAGUGGGRAAUUCGCAAUGGGCGAAACUGACCACACCCCGUGGGUGAUAAGGCCUCGGGCGAAAACCCUGUCGGGUGAACAAUCCCCACCCCUCGAAUACAGGGGUGGUUGACGGUACCACCGAAGAAGCCCCGGCUAACUACGUGCCAGCAGCCGCGGUAAUACGUAGGGGGCGAGCGUUGUUCGGAUUUACUGGGCGUAAAGAGCGCGUAGGUGGUUCGAUCAGUCGGAGGUGAAAUCCCUCGGCUCAACCGAGGACCCGCGUCCGAUACUGUCGAACUUGAGUGCAGGAGAGGAGAGCGGAGUUCCCAGUGUAGCGUGAAAUGCGUAGAUAUUGGGAGGAACACCGGUGGCGAAGGCGGCUCUCUGGACUGCUACUGACACUGAGGCGCGAAAGCUAGGGGAGCAAACGGGAUUAGAUACCCCGGUAGUCCUAGCCGUAAACGAUGGGCAYAGGUGUGGGAGGUAUCGACCCCUUCCGUGCCGCAGCUAACGCA